GAGUUUGAUCAUGGCUCAGAUUGAACGCUGGCGGCAGGCCUAACACAUGCAAGUCGAGCGGUAGAGAGAAGCUUGCUUCUCUUGAGAGCGGCGGACGGGUGAGUAAUGCCUAGGAAUCUGCCUGGUAGUGGGGGAUAACGCUCGGAAACGGACGCUAAUACCGCAUACGUCCUACGGGAGAAAGCAGGGGACCUUCGGGCCUUGCGCUAUCAGAUGAGCCUAGGUCGGAUUAGCUAGUUGGUGAGGUAAUGGCUCACCAAGGCGACGAUCCGUAACUGGUCUGAGAGGAUGAUCAGUCACACUGGAACUGAGACACGGUCCAGACUCCUACGGGAGGCAGCAGUGGGGAAUAUUGGACAAUGGGCGAAAGCCUGAUCCAGCCAUGCCGCGUGUGUGAAGAAGGUCUUCGGAUUGUAAAGCACUUUAAGUUGGGAGGAAGGGCAGUAAAUUAAUACUUUGCUGUUUGACGUUACCGACAGAAUAAGCACCGGCUAACUCUGUGCCAGCCG
This 509-nucleotide ribosomal RNA is filed under the name uncultured bacterium. RNAcentral's name for it is "bacterial SSU rRNA". It matches the Rfam family "Bacterial small subunit ribosomal RNA", at positions 9 to 514 of the family's 1533-position model. The record is from RNAcentral.